UACAGAGGGCCCAAGCGUUGUUCGGAUUCACUGGGCGUAAAGGGUGCGUAGGCGGUCGGGUAAGUCUGAUGUGAAAUCUCACAGCUUAACUGUGAAACUGCAUUGGAUACUAUCCGGCUAGAGGAAUGGAGGGGAGACUGGAAUACUUGGUGUAGCAGUGAAAUGCGUAGAUAUCAAGUGGAACACCAGUGGCGAAGGCGAGUCUCUGGACAUUUCCUGACGCUGAGGCACGAAAGCCAGGGGAGCAAACGGG
RNAcentral lists this ribosomal RNA (253 nucleotides) under uncultured bacterium. Its description in RNAcentral is "partial 16S ribosomal RNA". It matches the Rfam family "Bacterial small subunit ribosomal RNA", at positions 524 to 776 of the family's 1533-position model. The record is from RNAcentral.